AGAGACAGCAGCCGCCGCGGUAAUACGAGGGGUGCAAGCGUUAUUCGGAUUGAUUGGGAGUAAAGGGUGUGCAGACGGCUUAUUAAGUCACUUGUUAAAUUCUUCGGCCUAACUGAAGGUCUGCAAGUGAUACUGAUGAGCUAGAGGGUGGAAGAGAGAAGUGGAAUUCUCGGAGUAGCGGUAAAAUGCGUAGAUCUCGAGAGGAACACCAAUGGCGAAGGCAGCUUCUUGGUCCAUUCCUGACGUUCAUACACGAAAGCGUGGGGAGCAAACAGGAUUAGAUACCCGCGUAGUCCCUGUCUCUUAUAC
Molecule: ribosomal RNA, 309 nt
Filed under: uncultured bacterium
Lineage: Bacteria
Description: partial 16S ribosomal RNA
Rfam family: Bacterial small subunit ribosomal RNA
Source: RNAcentral